Molecule: ribosomal RNA, 403 nt
Filed under: uncultured bacterium
Lineage: Bacteria
Description: bacterial SSU rRNA
Rfam family: Bacterial small subunit ribosomal RNA
Source: RNAcentral
GGGGAAUAUUGGACAAUGGAGGAGACUCUGAUCCAGCAAUUCUGUGUGCACGAAGAAGGUUUUCGGAUUGUAAAGUGCUUUCAGCAGGGAAGAAGGAAGUGACGGUACCUGCAGAAGAAGCGACGGCUAAAUACGUGCCAGCAGCCGCGGUAAUACGUAUGUCGCGAGCGUUAUCCGGAAUUAUUGGGCAUAAAGGGCAUCUAGGCGGUAUAUCAAGUCAGGGGUGAAAACUUACGGCUCAACCGUGAGCUUGCCUUUGAAACUGAGAUACUGGAGUACCGGAGAGGUGGGCGGAACUACACGAGUAGAGGUGAAAUUCGUAGAUAUGUGUAGGAAUGCCGAUGAUGAAGAUAGCUCACUGGACGGCAACUGACGCUGAAGUGCGAAAGCUAGGGGAGCGAAC